CACGAGGAAUCCCGUGGGAAGUCGGGGGGACCACCCUCCAAGCCUAAAUACUACCCAAUGACCGAUAGCGAAAAGUACUGUGAAGGAACGGUGAAAAGAACCCCGGGAGGGGAGUGAAAAGAACCUGAAACUCUAUGCUUACAAGCACAUAGAGCACGUCAAAGUGUGAUAUGGUACCUUUUGUAGAAUGGUCCGGCGAGUUAUUGUAUGCAGCAAGGUUAAGGUCUUCAGGACUGAAGCCGAAGCGAGAGCGAGUCUGACAAGGGCGGUAAGUUGCAUGCAAUAGACCCGAAACCGGGUGACCUAGCCAUGUUCAGGUUGAAGUGGAGGUAAAGCUCCAUGGAGGACCGAACCGACCUCCGUUGAAAAGGCGGCGGAUGAAAUGUGGCUAGCGGAGAAAUUCCAAUCGAACCCGGAAAUAGCUGGUUCUCCCCGAAAUAGCUUUAGGGCUAGCGUUGUAUUAGAUUUCUGGGGGUAAAGCACUGAAUAGGCUAGGGGCCGAGAGGUUACUGAACCUUAUCAAACUAAGAAUACCAGAAAAUUGAUGUACAGCAGUCAGACUAUGUGAGAUAAGUCUCAUAGUCAAAAGGGAAACAGCCCAGACCCACAGCUAAGGUCCCAAAACAGAUUUAAGUGGAAAAGGAUGUGGGAUUGCCCAGACAACCAGGAUGUUGGCUUAGAAGCAGCCACACAUUAAAAGAGUGCGUAAUAGCUCACUGGUCGAGUGAUCCUGCGCCGAAAAUUCAACGGGGCUAAAAUUUGUACCGAAGCUUGGGCUUGAUACUUUGUAUCAGGGGUAGGGGAGCGUCAUGUAUGAGGUGAAGUCGUAGCGAAAGCGGCGGUGGAUUGUACAUGAGAGAGAAUGCCGGAAUGAGUAGCGAGAAUUAUGUGAGAAUCAUAAUGGCCGAAAAUCUAAGGUUUCCUGAGGAAGGUUCGUCCGCUCAGGGUAAGCCGGGAGCUAAGGUGAGGCGGAAACGCGUAGCCGAUGCACAUACGGUAGAGAUUCCGUAGCCUCCGAAAAGUAAAGCACAGGGACGCUUCAGAAGUGUUACGCCGGGCGAUGGUUGCCCCGGUUGUAAAGGACACAAUUGAGUGGAAGGUAACAUGGAUGGAGACAAGAAAAGCUGUGUGUAUCUGGAAGGAGCCCGUACCGCAAACCGACACAGGUAGAUAGGAAGAAGAUUCUAAGGCCAGCGGGAGAAGGGUUGUUAAGGAACUCGGCAAGUUGACCCCGUAACUUCGGGAGAAGGGGUGCUUACGAAGGUAAGCCGCAGAGAAUAGGCCCAAGCGACUGUUUAGCAAAAACACAGCUCUAUGCUAAAUCGAAAGAUGACGUAUAUGGGGUGACACCUGCCCGGUGCUGGAAGGUUAAGAGGAGAUGUGAGAGCAUUGAAUUGAAGCCCCAGUAAACGGCGGCCGUAACUAUAACGGUCCUAAGGUAGCGAAAUUCCUUGUCAGGUAAGUUCUGACCCGCACGAAUGGCGUAAUGAUCUGGGAGCUGUCUCAACUGCCCGCCCGGCGAAAUUGUAGUACCGGUGAAGAUGCCGGUUACCCGCGACUAGACGGAAAGACCCCAUGGAGCUUCACUGUAGCUUAAUAUUGAAUUUUGGUAUUUCAUGUACAGGAUAGGUGGGAGACUGGGAAAUACAGGCGUCAGCUUGUAUGGAGUCACUGUUGGGAUACCACUCUUGAGGUGCUGAAAUUCUAACCUGCGUCUUUGAAUCAAGACGGGGGACAUUGUUAGGUGGGCAGUUUGACUGGGGCGGUCGCCUCCAAAAGAGUAACGGAGGCGCUCAAAGGUUCGCUCAGCAUGGACGGAAACCAUGCCAAAGAGUGCAAACGCAAAAGCGAGCCUAACUGCGAGACUGACGGGUCGAGCAGUAACGAAAGUUGGAGUUAGUGAUCCGGCGGUAUGUGAAUGGAAAUGCCGUCGCUCAACGGAUAAAAGCUACCCUGGGGAUAACAGGCUGAUCUCCCCCAAGAGUCCACAUCGACGGGGAGGUUUGGCACCUCGAUGUCGGCUCAUCGCAUCCUGGGGCUGAAUUCGGUCCCAAGGGUUUGGCUGUUCGCCAAUUAAAGCGGUACGCGAGCUGGGUUCAGAACGUCGUGAGACAGUUCGGUCCCUAUCUGUUGCGGGCGCAGGAAUAUUGAGAGGAGCUGUCCUUAGUACGAGAGGACCGGGAUGGACGUACCGCUGGUGCACCAGUUGUUCUGCCAAGGGCAUAGCUGGGUAGCUAAGUACGGACGAGAUAAACGCUGAAGGCAUCUAAGCGUGAAACUCCCCUCGAGAUAAGUGUUCCCAUCCUUCGGGAGUAAGGCCCCUUGUAGACUACAAGGUUGAUAGGUCAGGAGUGGAAGUGCAGUAAUGUAUGGAGCGGACUGAUACUAAUAGGCCGAGGGCUUGACCUU
RNAcentral lists this ribosomal RNA (2409 nucleotides) under human gut metagenome. RNAcentral describes it as "bacterial LSU rRNA". It matches the Rfam family "Bacterial large subunit ribosomal RNA", at positions 423 to 2925 of the family's 2925-position model. The record is from RNAcentral.